GUGGGGAAUCUUCCGCAAUGGACGAAAGUCUGACGGAGCGACGCCGCGUGAGUGAAGAAGGCCUUCGGGUCGUAAAGCUCUGUCAUCAGGGACGAACGGCCGGUGGAGUGGAAAGCCACCGGAUUGACGGUACCUGAGAAGGAAGCCACGGCUAACUACGUGCCAGCAGCCGCGGUAAUACGUAGGUGGCAAGCGUUGUCCGGAAUUAUUGGGCGUAAAGCGCGCGAAGGUGGGAUCUUAAGUCCAUUUUUAAAGUUCGGAGCUCAACUCCGUGAUGGGAUGGAAACUGGGAGUCUUGAGUACCGGAGAGGAAAGCGGAAUUCCCCGUGUAGCGGUGAAAUGCGUAGAUAUGGGGAGGAACACCAGUGGCGAAGGCGGCUUUCUGGACGGUGUCUGACACUGAGGCGCGAAAGCCAGGGGAGCGAACGGGAUUAGAAACCCCGGUAGUCC
Molecule: ribosomal RNA, 450 nt
Filed under: uncultured bacterium
Lineage: Bacteria
Description: partial 16S ribosomal RNA
Rfam family: Bacterial small subunit ribosomal RNA
Source: RNAcentral